This is a long non-coding RNA of Hyaena hyaena (striped hyena), 2808 nucleotides long. RefSeq lists it as uncharacterized. The record is from RefSeq and is a predicted model, not a curated record. Lineage: Eukaryota; Metazoa; Chordata; Mammalia; Carnivora; Hyaenidae. The transcript is spliced from 5 exons.
ACAAAAACCUUCAGUAAAACUAUGCACCCUAAGAGAAGAUAGAAAGAAAGGCAGGAGGAGCCAUUCUGUGCUAACAAGAAAAUGAUGUUUGGAGGUAGAGGAGCAGAUCUGGAGUCUUUGCAUUCAGAACGCUUCUGACAAGACUUGACCAGAUGCUACAGCUGACGAGCAUGUGAAAAAGGCUGAAAUAACUUGAGGUCUGGAGUGAACAGUUACAUUCCUGGAUUGUUGAAAGUUCCAUUCUUUACAUGGGACCAACCAUCUUUGGUGAGCUUGAUAACACGAGGCAACUUUGAAGGUGACUUGGACUUCGAUCACUGAAAUAGAAAUGUUGAAAAGGAACUUCUGGAGAAAGGACUCUGGCCACUGGACGUGAAUGCAAGCAUGCUGCAACUGUUUUACUGCUGACAGCGAGGUGAAGCCCCCUGACCCCCGCUCCCGGGAGAGAGCUCAGAAGUCAGGGGCCCCAGCGGAGCACAUGCCUGACUUGUCCGGUGCCAUGGCGCUUGCUGCUGGUGACAGCCUGGUUGGCCGUCACUCAUCUAGAAGAGUGAAUGAACAUCGUAUUAAGCACUCCUUGCUGUUGGUUGAAGUAGAUCUCAGAGUUCUCACUAAUCAGGCUCUCCCUCGAGACCUUCCUUCAACUCUAAUAUCUAACAAUGAAGUCUAAGGUGGGGGAAUCCCACUGAAAUCCUAAACCAUAGGAAACAAGGUCAGCUGCAGGAAUUCAAGUACUCCGGAUGGCAUGUAUUCUUAGCUUUUCGGCAUUGAGGUAGGUAAAUCCCCAACUCUAAGAUUCUCGGUAUUGCCAGAAAUUUAAUUAAAACAUUAUCCGGAGCUGUUAAGUCAAAUCUCAAAUUACCAAGGAAUACCUGGUGGUUAAAAUUAAUUAGCAAUUCUAGCCAAACUGUUGUUCAACUUCCUUCUGCUUGUGCGCCCUGCACAGGAGGAUACGCUGUGAUGCAGGGUGAGGCUGCUCUCCGACACGCUCCCCCCCUCUGUAGACGAUCGAAAUCGGACUGAAAAGGUUUAGGCUACCCCAGUGACUAGUGGAGGGGCCGAGAGCACACCUGAAUCCAGCUGCUCUGUGUUUAGCUCAGACCUUCACUGCAAAUGCCACGCUUGCUUGCCUGCUAAGGACUUCAGUGAGGCCCGUCAUUCGGGGCUCUCCAGCCAGUCAGGGUCUGAAGGUCUAGUAGUGUUUGCAGAGUCCUACCUUUGUGUGUAGUGAAGAUCAGAAGCAUGUCUCAGUGUCCUGGCUUCUGCAUUUUUCAAGAAAAUCAUCUUCAACUACAGCAUUUUGUUUAUACAUGAACUCAGCAUGUGAGUGUGAGUGUGUGUGUGUGCGCGUGCGUGUGCACGUGUGUGCGCCCACAGGAAGGCGGGUCUGGGGGAGGCUGUGGGCUCACUGUGCGUCUGUCAGCAGCAUCUGUCACUCUGGGUCUGAGACAUCCCUUCGUGCUUCCCUCGCUUUCCUUGCUGCUGGCAUCUCACAUACCAAUGUCAUUAGGCACUGUCUGCCCCGGUCCUCCUACAAUCAAUCCAGCCCGUGCAGUUCCCGUCACAGCAAGUGCUUCCUCUGUCAGAGCAGACAAACUGACUGAAGCCACAGCCGGAAGCAGGCUGACCACAAGUGCUAAAGUUCUGGUUAGUUCUUUUCUAGGUAAAGUUGGAAAAGUCCCUGCAAAGGCAAACAUUGAAGUUUUAGACACGGGGGCGGUACUGACCUCUUGAGAUGUCCUUGACUGGAAAGAGGGAGGGUGUGAGUGAGUGAGAGACAGAGAGGCAGAGACAGAGAGGAGGAGGAGAGGAAGUUGGAUUGUAUGAUGCAAAUGCUAAUCAUUCUGAGAAGAGGUUGUUGUUUUUUUUUUUUUUUUUUCUUUUUUUCUUCUUCCCAGGUUCAACUGAAGAGGCUGUUCUAAGAAAGACUACUGAGGUAAUCAGUCACCUUCCUCAGAGAAAGUCCGCUCAGGUAGUCUUGUUUACCAUGUAAACAAUGGAACAUUUAUUGUUGAACCCUUUAUUCUUUUACAGCCAGAUGGGAGAAUUUAGAUUUCUUGGUGGGAGGCAUGAGGGAGAAAGAGACCUGUGGCUUCUCUAUCCUUCAUAGUCCCCUCUGAGAUUAAAAAAGGUAAAGAGUGUCCUUUCAAUUCAGACGGCAAGUGUGUUUCCACUUAGCUUACCAGGCCGGAUGACGCACCAGGGUUUCCCAGCAUGCCCAGGGGCACUCAGGGGAUGAGUGCAGAGGGGACAGGGGAGCACUGAAGAAAUCCUUUUAAGUUUCCAAAAGCAGGAAUAUAGGACACUUAAUAAACUUUAAAUUACUUGCCCCUUUUGUGGGUAGCGGUGAUUAUUUUUCCUGAAGAGGAAUGAAAUAAUUAAUCUUUAGAGCUCACUUUUGUAAGAUCACAGCAAAAAACAGAAUCCCAAAUCUACUGCUUUCGGUGAAAAAAUGGUGAUCAUGAUCUCUAUGCUCAAUGACUCUAAAAUUGCUAUUUAUAGCAAAUAUUAUACGUUAAAAAAAAACUAGACUAAAAAAUGGAUCCCAAGUAUGGAUGUGGUAGAAAGAUCAGGGAGCUGGGGAGAGGGAGGGAUGAAUAGAUGGAACACAGAGGGUUUUUAGAGCAGUGAAGCUCUUCUGUUUGCUGCUGUAAUGGUGGGCACAUGCAUUACACAUUUGCCAAAACCUACACAAGGUACAACACCAAGAGUGAACCCUAAUGUAAAUUCUGGUCUAUAGUUAAUAAUAAUGUGUCAUUUUGGUUCAUCAAUGGAAACAAACAUACCACAGUAAUGCAGCAGGUUAGU